Molecule: long non-coding RNA, 1616 nt
Organism: Malus domestica (apple)
Lineage: Eukaryota; Viridiplantae; Streptophyta; Magnoliopsida; Rosales; Rosaceae
Source: RefSeq, a predicted model, not a curated record
AUUAUUAAAAAAAACAUGUACAAAAAAAAUUUAUUUAUUAAAAAACACUAUUAAAAUGACAAAAAUACCCUGCCACAUUUGAUACAUUAUUUUGAGUUACAUUUGAAGUUUUUUGUUUGAGAGACAUUUUUAUCCAGUUCUUUUUUUUUUUUUGGGUGAAGCUUAUGACACCAAAAAAUAUUGUUCAUUGAGCCCUUGACUUUAUAUAUAAAGAUAAGUCCUAAAACAAAAGGGAAUAUGAGAGAACUCUAAACUCCAUUGUAUAAGAGAACAAGUGACAACCAUAAAAGAUGUUUAAAUAACUACUACCAUCAAUUGAUGAUGUCAUUAAUGGUAAGUAAUGGUGCGAACAAAUAUUGAAGCUAUUUUCACUAACAGGUCAUUUUAGGGUGCAUUUGUUGCACCACACUAUCUCGAACUGGACUAACUUCAGGGAUUAAACUGGAUUGGUUUUGAAUGGACUAAGUAGUAUAAAGAUAAUGAAACAUUUGGUGCAGUGUCAGACUAAAUCAGAGAUUAAAUUAUUUUAGAGUUAAAAGACUUUUUUUUGUCAUUUUUAAUAUUUUAUUAUUGUUAAUACACACUUUUUUUAUUUGACUCUCUCCCCCAGUCUCACCACUUUUUUUCUUUGGUUUGCAUUCUAUUCUUCGAAAGCGCAUAUUUGCUCCCACUAAUAAUCAAACCCAGAAAACUCUCUCUUCCUUUCAUUUGCUUUCUCUACAAUUAAAACCCAUAUUUCUCUUCUUUUAAUUCACUUUCCCUUCAAAUCAAAUCCAGAAAAAUCCCUUCUUUUUUUUUUCAAUUUGCAGAGGCUCAGAUCGUUGGAUCUGUAAAUCGGCGACAUACUUGCAGACACAUCUUCUUGGCGGAGUGCUUGGCGGCCUCAAGGAGGACGCGACGGUCGGUGGCAUGUAAUCUGGAGCUGCGGGCAAGGCAUAUGAGAGAGCUGGAAAUUCGAAGGAAAUUAUGGAGAAGCUUUACAAAAUUAUUAUAAGCUAUGCGAUUAGAAACUUAUCCUAAUGAUUGAAGUUAUAUACUAUAACAUAGGCCUUAUCCACACAAGUAACCGAGAAAGGUGUGAUCGGUCUCAUCCCUGUGAUUGCAAGUUGAGGAAGAAGAAAAGCUUAAUGGCAGCAGGUUCGGGAUUUGUGGAAGACGAAGAGGAAGAUGACUGAGGAAGUUGAAGCCUCAGCACAUUGAUGAAGCGAAGCAAUGAUCUUAGCAAUCUCAUCCUUCUUGCCCUGCCUCGCUAAGCCUAGCUAGUGAAAAGUUUAGUCGGAACGAGUCCAAGCUAGUCCCAUUAAACUUAGUGUUGGCAUGCACCAAACAAAGAUUAAUAUUCUUAGCUAAGCCAGUCCAGUGAGACUUAGUGAGUGCAAACAAACACGCUCACCAAAUGUAGUCCAUAGUCAACACUAACUUUGUCUAGUUAAAGGGGAUCAAUUUAGAAAUUUAGAGCUCUAUAAAUGAUAUGGGAGUUAAAUCCCGCUUCAAUACUUGUCCAGGUUAUCAUUUAAUGUUGGUGACCUAACAAGUCUUCAUUUUUCAAAAUAUUAUGUAAUUAUUUGAAAUGUUUUACAAAUAUGAGAUCAAUUUAAAAUCAUCUCUAAGUUGAA